RNAcentral lists this long non-coding RNA (739 nucleotides) under Rhipicephalus microplus (southern cattle tick). RNAcentral describes it as "uncharacterized LOC119185097". Lineage: Eukaryota; Metazoa; Arthropoda; Arachnida; Ixodida; Ixodidae. The record is from RNAcentral.
UCCCUGUUCUGUGGCGGCGUGCGCUGUCUUGUCAUAUUAAGCUGUUGAAUAUUAAGCUGUUGAGAGGUCCUUGGCUGUUGUCAACGGGAGGUAUGCUGUGCGGACAUCAAGAGACCUAAAUCCAAUGUCGUCUUCUCCGUGAUCCACUGCGGAUCUCGAAUCCCUCUGGACAAUGUGCCGUUUCCAGUUGUCAAGGGAACCGUCAAAGUAUGCAUAUCUGGAAUGGAAUACUAGCAGAAGACACAGGAGAAAAAGAAGACCAAAUAUGUUACAUCGUGAUGCACUUGCAAACGUUUCAAUCUCAUUCAGAUAUGCAGUAGCCUUCCAGUUCAAAGAUUGUGUGCAGGCAGUGUAAGGUGCAUACUUUGCGGCAGCUGUAUUUAACGUAUUUUCCCUUAUACAUAUGCCCCUUUUCGGGCCCUUAGGGUAUUUCUAGCCAAUGAAUACAUUUAGGAAAAGCCCAAGAGCAUUAUGACUGUGAACGAGACACAUAGCCGGGGGUUGCUGCACACCGAAAUGUUCAGUUUUGCUGGGACCUCUUCUACCUUCUCUCACACCUUUGACGUUUUGCCAUGCCUUCCCCCCAUCAGUAGUUGCGAGCGAAAGAAAAUCAUGGCUACAUCCCUGGUGUGAACUAUAAAAACAUGGGCUUGUUUUUUUGCACUUAUCAAAGCCGACCUGUGUGUCUGUUAACAUGCAAAAACACCAGAAAUAAAUAUUCUUUAUUUCAUUUACAGCA